Molecule: ribosomal RNA, 493 nt
Filed under: uncultured archaeon
Lineage: Archaea
Description: bacterial SSU rRNA
Rfam family: Archaeal small subunit ribosomal RNA
Source: RNAcentral
UAAAGGAAUUGGCGGGGGAGCACUGCAACCUGAGGAUUGUGCGGUUUAAUUGGAUUCAACGCCGGAAAACUCACCAUAGCCGACGGACAUAUGAAGGCCAGCGUAACGAGCUUGCUGGAUUGUUCGAGAGGUAGUGCAUGGCCGUCGUCAGUUCGUACCGCAAGGCGUUCUGUUAAGUCAGAUAACGAACGAGACCCUCAUCCCUAUUUGCCAAGGUCUGUCCGCAGAUCACGGGACUAUAGGGAGACCGCUGGCGCGAAGUCAGAGGAAGGCGAGGGCAACGGUAGGUCAGUAUGCUCCGAAUGCUAUGGGCUACACGCGCAAUACAAAGGACGGGACAAUGGGCUGCAACUCCGAGAGGAAGACGCUAUCCCGAAACCCGUUCGUAGUUCGGAUUGAGGGCUGUAACUCGCCCUCAUGAAGCUGGAUUAGGUAGUAAUCGCGUCUCAAAAAGGCGCGGUGAAUAUGCCCCUGCUCCUUGCACACACCGCCA